CGGGUAGUGGCGCAGUUUGGCAGCGCGCUUGCUUUGGGAGCAAGAGACCGCAGGUUCGAAUCCUGUCUACCCGA
RNAcentral lists this transfer RNA (74 nucleotides) under Micromonospora avicenniae. It matches the Rfam family "tRNA". Rfam says of the family: Transfer RNA (tRNA) molecules are approximately 80 nucleotides in length. Lineage: Bacteria; Bacillati; Actinomycetota; Actinomycetes; Micromonosporales; Micromonosporaceae. The record is from Rfam by way of RNAcentral.